UAGAAUUAUGACUAUUCCUGAAAAUUUUACCAGAUGCUGACACAAAAGACAAAAUUGGCAAAAAAAAAGUGUGAAUAUAAACACAUACAAUACAGGAGAAAAAAGUAAACUAGGAGAAAAAGUACGACAAGUCAUUGUUAAAUAGGAGUGUGAAUUUUCGAAAACAGUUGCGAAAAAUCAGACAUCGGAUUCAAACAAAAAUUUUUGAAAAUACAUGUAGAAAACCUAAUAUAAACCAAAUUUAUACUAUCCACUUCAAAUAUAAAAAUCAGUAUCAUGCUGGUGUAAUAGUACUGACUGAAAAUAGGCUUAGUCAUACAUACAAAAUGAUAUUCGAUUGGCUUACAAAAAAUGUUGAAGGUCUAAAAGAUAAAGAGAUGAUCAUUAUGACUGAUUAUGAGAAGGCCACGGUUAAAGCACUCAGAAAGUGUUUCCCAUGUGCAAAAAUUCACGGCUGUUUUUUUCACUUUGUAUACAGGUGAAAGUGUAAC
Long non-coding RNA from Cotesia glomerata, 491 nucleotides. RefSeq lists it as uncharacterized. NCBI's taxonomy places the organism in Eukaryota, Metazoa, Arthropoda, Insecta, Hymenoptera, Braconidae. The transcript is spliced from 3 exons. The record is from RefSeq and is a predicted model, not a curated record.